RNAcentral lists this ribosomal RNA (253 nucleotides) under uncultured bacterium. Its description in RNAcentral is "partial 16S ribosomal RNA". It matches the Rfam family "Bacterial small subunit ribosomal RNA", at positions 524 to 776 of the family's 1533-position model. The record is from RNAcentral.
UACGAAGGGGGCUAGCGUUGUUCGGAAUUACUGGGCGUAAAGCGCACGUAGGCGGGUCGUUAAGUCAGGGGUGAAAUCCCGGAGCUCAACUCCGGAACUGCCUUUGAUACUGGCGAUCUUGAGAUCGGAAGAGGUGAGUGGAAUUCCCAGUGUAGAGGUGAAAUUCGUAGAUAUUGGGAAGAACACCAGUGGCGAAGGCGGCUCACUGGUCCGAUACUGACGCUGAGGUGCGAAAGCGUGGGGAGCAAACGGG